UGUAGGUUCUCUGGAGGAGCUCCUUCGUUCCCAGAACGCCGUACCACAUCAUGUUCUUGUUCUUACAGUGAGUCCAGGUCUGGGUCGAUGAAGGGGGUGGCACCAAAGGGGUCAAUGUUGGCCAGCAGCAUCUUGCUAAUGAUGGAACUUCCUGCUAUGGAGGCUGCCAGACCCGCCCGCAGUCCUGCACAUGUGACAUGUGUCAUGUGACAGCCAAUCACUCAAUGACAUGGAACAGCACGGAUUGAUUCACACCGCAUUUGUGCUGGUAAACUGCAUAACAUGGACAUAUGAUGCGCGUGUUGAGCACAGGCAGGUUCUCCUUGCUGGUGGUGAAGGGCGUGAUGCUGAAGGAACUGUACGACUGCGUGCUGCGACUCACCCUCCUC
Long non-coding RNA from Entelurus aequoreus (snake pipefish), 389 nucleotides. RefSeq lists it as uncharacterized. NCBI's taxonomy places the organism in Eukaryota, Metazoa, Chordata, Actinopteri, Syngnathiformes, Syngnathidae. The transcript has 4 exons. The record is from RefSeq and is a predicted model, not a curated record.